This 406-nucleotide ribosomal RNA is filed under the name uncultured bacterium. RNAcentral's name for it is "partial 16S ribosomal RNA". It matches the Rfam family "Bacterial small subunit ribosomal RNA", at positions 29 to 526 of the family's 1533-position model. The record is from RNAcentral.
AUUGAACGCUGGCGGCAGGCCUAACACAUGCAAGUCGAACGAGUGGCGGACGGGUGAGUAAUGUCUGGGAAACUGCCCGAUGGUGGGGGAUAACUACUGGAAACGGUAGCUAAUACCGCAUACCAUCGGAUGUGCCCAGAUGGGAUUAGCUAGUAGGUGGGGUAACGGCUCACCUAGGCGACGAUGCCUAGCUGGUCUGGGAGGAUGACCAGCCACACUGGAACUGGGGCACGGACCAGACUCCUGCGGGAGGUAGCAGUGGGGAGUAGUGCACAGUGGGCGCAGACCUGAUGCAGCCAUGCCGCGUGUAUGAAGAAGGCCUUCGGGUAGAAAAGUACUUUCAGCGAGGAGGCGUUACUCGCAGAAGAAGCACCGGCUAACUCCGUGCCAGCAGCCGCGGUGAUUC